AUUGAACGCUGGCGGCAUGCUUUACACAUGCAAGUCGAACGGUAACAGGCCUUCGGGUGCUGACGAGUGGCGAACGGGUGAGUAAUGCAUCGGAACGUACCCAGAGGUGGGGGAUAACGCAGCGAAAGCUGUGCUAAUACCGCAUGUGAUCUGAGGAUGAAAGCGGGGGACCGAGCAGCAAUGUUUGGCCUCGCGCCUUUGGAGCGGCCGAUGUCGGAUUAGCUAGUUGGUGGGGUAAAGGCCUACCAAGGCGACGAUCCGUAGCUGGUCUGAGAGGACGACCAGCCACACUGGGACUGAGACACGGCCCAGACUCCUACGGGAGGCAGCAGUGGGGAAUUUUGGACAAUGGGCGCAAGCCUGACCCAGCAAUGCCGCGUGCGGGAAGAAGGCCUUCGGGUUGUAAACCGCUUUUGGCAGGAACGAAACGGUGUCCGCUAAUACCGGGCGCUAAUGACGGUACCUGCAGAAUAAGCACCGGCUAACUAC
RNAcentral lists this ribosomal RNA (489 nucleotides) under uncultured bacterium. RNAcentral's name for it is "partial 16S ribosomal RNA". It matches the Rfam family "Bacterial small subunit ribosomal RNA", at positions 29 to 504 of the family's 1533-position model. The record is from RNAcentral.